UACCAGCACCCCGAGUGGUCGGGACGAUUAUUGGGCCUAAAGCAUCCGUAGCCGGUUCUACAAGUCUUCCGUUAAAUCCACCUGCUUAACAGAUGGGCUGCGGAGGAUACUAUAGAGCUAGGAGGCGGGAGAGGCAAGCGGUACUUAGUGGGUAGGGGUAAAAUCCGUUGAUCCAUUGAAGACCACAAGUGGCGAAGGCGGCUUGCCAGAACGCACUCGACGGUGAGGGAUGAAAGCUGGGGGAGCAAACCGG
Molecule: ribosomal RNA, 253 nt
Filed under: uncultured bacterium
Lineage: Bacteria
Description: partial 16S ribosomal RNA
Rfam family: Archaeal small subunit ribosomal RNA
Source: RNAcentral